RNAcentral lists this ribosomal RNA (763 nucleotides) under uncultured Streptococcus sp. RNAcentral's name for it is "bacterial SSU rRNA". It matches the Rfam family "Bacterial small subunit ribosomal RNA", at positions 28 to 776 of the family's 1533-position model. The record is from RNAcentral. Lineage: Bacteria; Bacillati; Bacillota; Bacilli; Lactobacillales; Streptococcaceae.
GACGAACGCUGGCGGCGUGCCUAAUACAUGCAAGUAGAACGCUGAAGGAGGAGCUUGCUUCUCUGGAUGAGUUGCGAACGGGUGAGUAACGCGUAGGUAACCUGCCUGGUAGCGGGGGAUAACUAUUGGAAACGAUAGCUAAUACCGCAUAAGAGUAGAUGUUGCAUGACAUUUGCUUAAAAGGUGCAAUUGCAUCACUACCAGAUGGACCUGCGUUGUAUUAGCUAGUUGGUGGGGUAACGGCUCACCAAGGCGACGAUACAUAGCCGACCUGAGAGGGUGAUCGGCCACACUGGGACUGAGACACGGCCCAGACUCCUACGGGAGGCAGCAGUAGGGAAUCUUCGGCAAUGGACGGAAGUCUGACCGAGCAACGCCGCGUGAGUGAAGAAGGUUUUCGGAUCGUAAAGCUCUGUUGUAAGAGAAGAACGAGUGUGAGAGUGGAAAGUUCACACUGUGACGGUAACUUACCAGAAAGGGACGGCUAACUACGUGCCAGCAGCCGCGGUAAUACGUAGGUCCCGAGCGUUAUCCGGAUUUAUUGGGCGUAAAGCGAGCGCAGGCGGUUAGAUAAGUCUGAAGUUAAAGGCUGUGGCUUAACCAUAGUACGCUUUGGAAACUGUUUAACUUGAGUGCAGAAGGGGAGAGUGGAAUUCCAUGUGUAGCGGUGAAAUGCGUAGAUAUAUGGAGGAACACCGGUGGCGAAAGCGGCUCUCUGGCUUGUAACUGACGCUGAGGCUCGAAAGCGUGGGGAGCAAACAGG